AUUGAACGCUGGCGGCAUGCCUUACACAUGCAAGUCGAACGGUAACGGGCCUUCGGGUGCCGCCGAGUGGCGAACGGGUGAGUAAUACAUCGGAACGUGCCCGAUCGUGGGGGAUAACGAGGCGAAAGCUUUGCUAAUACCGCAUACGAUCUACGGAUGAAAGCAGGGGACCGCAAGGCCUUGCGCGGACGGAGCGGCCGAUGGCAGAUUAGGUAGUUGGUGGGAUAAAAGCUUACCAAGCCGACGAUCUGUAGCUGGUCUGAGAGGAUGAUCAGCAACACUGGGACUGAGACACGGCCCAGACUCCUACGGGAGGCAGCAGUGGGGAAUUUUGGACAAUGGGCGCAAGCCUGAUCCAGCCAUGCCGCGUGCAGGAUGAAGGCCUUCGGGUUGUAAACUGCUUUUGUACGGAACGAAAAGCCUUCUUUUAAUACAGGAGGGUCAUGACGGUACCGUAAGAAUAAGCACCGGCUAACUACGUG
This 482-nucleotide ribosomal RNA is filed under the name uncultured bacterium. RNAcentral's name for it is "partial 16S ribosomal RNA". It matches the Rfam family "Bacterial small subunit ribosomal RNA", at positions 30 to 507 of the family's 1533-position model. The record is from RNAcentral.